RNAcentral lists this ribosomal RNA (376 nucleotides) under uncultured bacterium. Its description in RNAcentral is "bacterial SSU rRNA". It matches the Rfam family "Bacterial small subunit ribosomal RNA", at positions 523 to 898 of the family's 1533-position model. The record is from RNAcentral.
AUACGUAGGGGGCGAGCGUUGUCCGGAAUUAUUGGGCGUAAAGGGUGCGUAGGCGGCCCUUCAAGUUGGAUGUGAAAUCCCCGUGCUUAACAUGGGAAUUGCAUUCAAAACUGGGGGGCUUGAGUGUGGAAGAGGUAAGUGGAAUUCCCAGUGUAGCGGUGAAAUGCGUAGAGAUUGGGAGGAACACCAGUGGCGAAGGCGACUUACUGGGCCACAACUGACGCUGAUGCACGAAAGCGUGGGGAGCAAACAGGAUUAGAUACCCUGGUAGUCCACGCUGUAAACGAUGGAUACUAGGUGUAGGAGGUUACACCCCCCCUGUGCCGCAGCUAACGCAAUAAGUAUCCCGCCUGGGGAGUACGGUCGCAAGAUUGAA